GUGAAUUGUACAGGAACCUCCCAUUAUAACCUGAAGAUGUUACCAGGUGAAUUGUACAGGAACCUCCCAUUAUAACCUGAAGAUGUUACCAGGUGAAUUGUACAGGAACCUCCCAUUAUAACCUGAAGAUGUUACCAGGUGAAUUGUACAGGAACCUCCCAUUAUAACCUGAAGAUGUUACCAGGUGAAUUGUACAGGAACCUCCCAUUAUAACCUGAAGAUGUUACCAGGUGAAUUGUACAGGAACCUCCCAUUAUAACCUGAAGAUGUUACCAGGUGAAUUGUACAGGAACCUCCCAUUAUAACCUGAAGAUGUUACCAGGUGAAUUGUACAGGAACCUCCCAUUAUAACCUGAAGAUGAUACCAGGUGAAUUGUACAGGAACCUCCCAUUAUAACCUGAAGAUGAUACCAGGUGAAUUGUACAGGAACCUCCCAUUAUAACCUGAAGAUGUUACCAGGUGAAUUGUACAGGAACCUCCCAUUAUAACCUGAAGAUGUUACCAGGUGAAUUGUACAGGAACCUCCCAUUAUAACCUGAAGAUGUUACCAGGUGAAUUGUAUAGGAACCUCCCAUUAUAACCUGAAUAUAUUACCAGGUGAAUUGUACAGGAACAACAUAAAGAGAUAACGUACCCUCUACCUUAACGUCCCCUCUACGUUAAUGUUAUUAACGUCCCCUCUACCUUAACGUCCCCUCUACGGUAACGUCCCCUCUACGGUAACGUCCCCUCUACGGUAACGUCCCCUCUACGGUAACGUCCCCUCUACCUUAACGUCCCCUCUACGGUAACGUCCCCUCUACCUUAACGUCCCCUUUACCUUAACGUCCCCUCUACGGUAUUGUCCCCUCUACGGUAACGUCCCCUCUACGGUAACGUCCCCUCUACGGUAACGUCCCCUCUACCUUAACGUCCCCUCUACGGUAACGUCCCCUCUACCUUAACGUCCCCUCUACCUUAACGUCCCCUCUACCUUAACGUCCCCUCUACCUUAACGUCCCCUCUACCUUAACGUCCC
Long non-coding RNA from Oncorhynchus keta (chum salmon), 1019 nucleotides. RefSeq lists it as uncharacterized. The record is from RefSeq and is a predicted model, not a curated record. The transcript is spliced from 4 exons. NCBI's taxonomy places the organism in Eukaryota, Metazoa, Chordata, Actinopteri, Salmoniformes, Salmonidae.